CUGUUGUUUUCUCAACGAUAUCUGUGUACUAUUAAUGUUAUUGUUGUAACAUUUUUUGUUCUCAAUUGCAGCUUCUGCUCUCCCAAGCAUGAACAAUGACAGAUGUAAUGGAUCUAAUCUAAACCCGAGAAGGAUUGAAAAUAUAUUUUCUCAUCCUCGCCAACCACGGUCUGUUAGGCCUCGUUUGUGUUUGUCAUUAGAUUCUGAUUCAGAGUAGUUCAGACAUCACACUGGGAUAGCUGAAUUUGCUAUUAAUCUGGCAAAGUUGGCUUCCAGAAUCUUGAAUUUUAUUGUGGAGGGCUAUCAGGUUAUUCUGGUUGAUACAAAGAGAAACACCAGUGUGGAUGCUUUGUUGCAUUAACCUGGUAAGAUUCAAGUGUUCUAUAUGAUCCAAGUGGGAUCUCCAUAGAGUUCAUCUAAUGGUUGGUACAGGAUAUUUUCUAACUGGGAGUGGUUUAACGUGGCUAGUGGAGCAGGCUGUACAUUUUCCCUGACAUUUACUGGGUAUAAGGAAUAGGGGGGCAUCACUUGGCACAAGACAAAUACAUGUGAAUGUUUUGUGUGUACCAUCAUUGUAUUUAGGGUUCGGGUGUUAAUUUAGAUGUUUAUGACCCUGAUGUUUGAUGGAAAAUAAAUUAUUCCUUGAUGAA
Molecule: long non-coding RNA, 650 nt
Organism: Zea mays
Lineage: Eukaryota; Viridiplantae; Streptophyta; Magnoliopsida; Poales; Poaceae
Exons: 2
Source: RefSeq, a predicted model, not a curated record